This 1743-nucleotide long non-coding RNA is filed under the name Pan paniscus (pygmy chimpanzee). RNAcentral's name for it is "lncRNA (ENSPPAG00000044551.1)". The record is from RNAcentral. Lineage: Eukaryota; Metazoa; Chordata; Mammalia; Primates; Hominidae.
CGCCUACUAACGGCCCGCCUCUCCGCUCCCGAGUGCAGGCUUCCUGGGUCACCGUCCGUCUCUCCCCUCCCGAGUGCAGGCUUCCUGGGUCACCGUCCGCCUCUCCCCUCCCGAGUGCAGACUUCCUGUGUCACCGUCCUCCUCUCCCCUCCCGAGUGCAGACUUCCUGUGUCACCGUCCGCCUCUCCCCUCCCGAGUGCAGGCUUCCUGGGUCACCGUCCGUCUCUCCCCUCCCGAGUGCAGGCUUCCUGGGUCACCGUCCUCCUCUCCCCUCCCCAGUGCAGACUUCCUGGGUCACCGUCCGCCUCAACCCUCCCGAGUGCAGGCUUCCUGGGGCACCGUCCGCCUCUCCCCUCCCGAGUGCGGACUUCCCGGGGCAGAGCUUCGCCUGCUUCCUGCAAUUGUGUCCAGGGCGCGGGAAGCUGCCCAGCACAGGGCCCAUCCUCUCCCUGUAGAGCUCCAGUGAAGACCCCUCUCCAGGAGCCCCUAACCCCAGUUCCAGAUAAACCUUCUGUUUUUCCUAAAACUGUCAGAACCCAGUUCUGGUGCGGAGGUAUCAGCGUAGAUGGAGAAGAGACUUUCGUGCCUCUGACCCUCAAAUUACCCAGCUCUCGGCUCUGCGUGGAUUGGCGUGCCCGUUUACCUGCGAGGCCAGGUUCACAUUUGGGAAGAAGAGAUUUUCUCCCUCCGCAGCAGCAGCGCAGCCUGCACGAGGUUGCUGGGGGAAAUAGACCGCUCUGUCUUUGGGGUCUUGACGGGUAGAGUGGUUUGCCAGAGAACCACCGAAGAGCCUUCCAGCGACUUCUAAGAGUGGGCACUUACUCAGAAAUCUCUCCUCAGAGCCUGGCACAGGUUUUGGUAUCAGCGGGGCCACGACAAAUGUUCACUGAAUGAAUAAAUGAAUGACAUGGGAUGUAGGAAACAUGAAAUAAAAUGAACUGAGAAGAUUUGCAGGGACUGGUUAUUUUGUCCAUCUCCAAACGCAGAGGAAACACCCUGACUCCCCCUGGGCCACCUACAGGGGCCAAUGGCAGUCAGUCCCCUGUGCUGAAGUGCCGGCUGUUUUCUAAGAGGCUGAAGGAGGGUAUUUAUAGUUCAUGGGUAACAAGGAGAAACCACCUCUGGAGAUCUCCUCCUCUCUCAGAAAUCUUUGUGAUGAUAUGAAGAGGGAUGGUGUUUUGGGCCCGUGAUGGGUGACGCCACCCCAGAUUUGCAGAUGAGACCCUUUUAUGGGACAGGUGGGCACUGGUCAAAUGGCAUUUAUAAAGAAUCUGGCCAAUAAUAUCUUUUUUUUUUGGCUCCUGGUUUUCAUUACCACUCAGCAUUUCCCACCUUUCCAGCUGAAGUUCAAUCAAUUAGCAGGGUCUCUAGCAGGGUCCCCGGCCUGAUGCCUGGGGUCCCUAUGCCUCUCAGCUUCCCGGGAAGUGGCUAAUGAGUGCUGACAUACAAGAGGGGGAGUGUGACAGAUGCUCUGUGGGGGUCGUCCUGCUGUGUGAUGAUCACGCCCUGAGACGGAUUCGUAAACGUGGUCUUUCCUACGUCCAGGGUUUUUGUAAUAUUAUUUGAAGGAUGCACCAGCUUGUCACUGAGUGUGCCAGGGAACCACUGACCAGAGAAGUUUAUUUGUGCUGUGUCAUUAGGACUAUGAGUAAUAAUAACAACAAUAAUAAUGAAACAAAGGGAAGAAAACCCGGCAGGGGGCUGCCCUUGAGAGUGCCCUGAGGGACACACAGGAGGCCCUGG